Molecule: transfer RNA, 68 nt
Filed under: Xenopeltis hainanensis
Lineage: Eukaryota; Metazoa; Chordata; Lepidosauria; Squamata; Xenopeltidae
Description: tRNA-Tyr
Rfam family: tRNA
About the family: Transfer RNA (tRNA) molecules are approximately 80 nucleotides in length. Their secondary structure includes four short double-helical elements and three loops (D, anti-codon, and T loops).
Source: RNAcentral
GGUAGUAUGGCUGAUAUAAGCGAUAAACUGUAAAUUUAUUUAUGAGGGCCUCAAUCCCCUUUGCUACC